This is a long non-coding RNA of Rhinopithecus roxellana (golden snub-nosed monkey), 2396 nucleotides long. RefSeq lists it as uncharacterized. The record is from RefSeq and is a predicted model, not a curated record. The transcript has 7 exons. NCBI's taxonomy places the organism in Eukaryota, Metazoa, Chordata, Mammalia, Primates, Cercopithecidae.
GUGGCACCAUGCUACAACAUGACUCUUGGAAGUCUCCUUUUAAAGAGAGAGCAAGGUAAUUUCUUAGUCGUCAUUUCAGAUGUUUCUGCAGCCAAUAGUGAAAUAUUUGGAGAGAAUCUUCCUUUAUAGAGGGAUCACAAGAGACACCUACCAGAAGAUACGAAUGGUCUGACUCUGAAUGGGAAUGAAAAACAUACCUGCAUAAAAUAUGCACUAAAAGAAAAGCAAAAGUCUCACGAUAUAUAUUGAACAACUGUAUAUUCCAAAGACUCCCUGGCAAGUUCUCAUCUGUUCUGAGCAGUUGGUGUUUUCAGCGUUCUUCAUUCAGUUUGGCCGUUUUGGUGGUUAGCCAGAAACUUUCAAUAUAAUGAAUAGAAGUGAUGCUAGAGAAAAACUGUCAACACUUCACCAAUUAAUACACUGUGUGCAGAGUAUCUUGAGCAGAUCCUUUUAUGCUAUUGGCCUAGAUGGUCUGUGGUCUUAAUUCCAUUGUGCACCGAUUGGAUGUGGCUGCAUUUACAGAGGGACAGUCCAGUCACUUACUAGGUACACUUACUCUGUACCUAUCCAAGCAACGAGAAUCAGAAACCCGGAAACAGCAGCUGAAAUGAUUUAUAUACUCCCUAAGGAGGCAGCGCCCAGUGGAUGAAGCCCUACGGGAGAGCACGCCAGCAGCGGAGGCUCUAGGGGGAAAGCGUGUUGUCUAAGGCAAAGGACCUCUGCCAGCUUACACAUUUAUUUGAAAGACACAGACAUAAAAAGGAUUAAUAUGUUUAUGUAACUAAAAGCAGUAGUAAGAAAUAGGUAACUAGGUGAGGCUCCUGAAGAUUUUGAAAGAAGUGUGUUACUUGCUUGCUGCUCCUUUAAGGGAUAAAAACAAAACAAAACACAUACCCCUAAGCCUAAGAAUUCUUUCUGGGCCCCCAAGGCAGGUUCUCAGCUCGUUUAACUGUCUAAAGCUACUGAACCCAUGAGUUCUAGUGAGCAGUAAAAGCUCUAAUGAACUCCGUAGUCUGGAUUUACAAAAUAGAAAAUGUGGAGGUUAGAAUGAAGCACUGUCUUCACUUUUCUACUUCUAAUGUGAUGAAAAUCAGUUUUCUUCAAAACCAAGAUCACCAUUCUUUGAGCAUAUCCUUGUAAGGUACAAGAUCAAACACUUGAUCUUAUUCAGGGAGUUAACUGUUUUCUUUAGUAAAGACGAAGUUUUUUUUUCUUCUAGGCAUCAAAGGCAAACCAGAUAGAACAUUAAGACGACAGGCAAUAAAAAGAUGAGAUUCAGGCUCUUGCUGUCACCCAGGCUGAAGUGCAGAGGCACCAUCAUAGCUCAAGCUCACGGUAACCUUCAACUCCUGGGCUCAAGGGAUCCUGGGACAAAGUAUCAAAGGCAAACCCUCAUAGGCUGAGAAACAUUAUGAAAACUGAAAGUUAAAGGUGCCAGAACAUAAAAAGUCAGAUGAAGAUGAGUCAUUUAAUGGUUUCAUUCUUACUGGACCAUUCUGGAUGGAGACAAUAAGUAGAAGAAUGUUUUGUGGCAAUUCUCAUAAAACGAAACCUAACACCUAUUCUCAAUAUUCAACCAGCAAAACACCUCACUUACCUGUGCACAUGAUCUCAUGCAACAAAGCGUCCCUACAGGUUGUAUCUGGUGAGUAUGCAGACAUACGGAUCUUCGUCUUAAAACAGGUUUUAGCUGUGGCACUAUGACAUUUUGGAUCAAAUCAGUCUUUGUUGUAGGGGCUGUCCUGUACAUCACAGGAUAUUUAGCAGCAUCCCUACUUUCCACUCCCCAGGAUCCUGUACCAACCACCCCUUCCUCAAGCUGUGAUAACCAAAACUGUCUCCUGACAUUGCUUUAAUGUCUCCAUGGGGAGCAAAAUCACUCCCUAUGGGAACCAGUGUUGUAAACUAUUUUAGAGGCAAACCAUAAACUAAGUCCCCAAACUGUGAUAGGGGAAAUAGUCUAUAACUUCCUAAUACAGUAGCUGAUCACUACAUGAUGCUACUAAGCACUUCAAAAGUGGCUAAGUAUGAAGAGAAUUCUUAAUUUCAUUUCAUUUUAAUUAAGUCCUACAUGUACUAUAAGGACAAGAUACUUCAUCAUGGAAAACUGUGUAGAUAUCUUGAUACCUUUGUUAAAAAUCAUGUGGUUGAUAGGCAAUAAAAACUUACAGAAAGGGUUUCACCAUGUUGUCCUGACUGGUCUCAAACUAUCCACCCACCUCCACCUCCAGAAGAGCUGGGAUUACAGGUGUGAGUCACUGCACCAGGCAUAAAUGUUUUAUUCGUCCUAUUUCUAUCCAUUUAAUUUUCAUUCUAAGUAUUUAUUUGUUAAAUUAAAAGGUGAACUGUGAAGAAGUUAAAGACUACAAUGAUAGAAAUUUAAAUUCUCUUUAAAU